This 451-nucleotide ribosomal RNA is filed under the name uncultured bacterium. RNAcentral's name for it is "partial 16S ribosomal RNA". It matches the Rfam family "Bacterial small subunit ribosomal RNA", at positions 354 to 797 of the family's 1533-position model. The record is from RNAcentral.
GUGGGGAAUUUUGGACAAUGGGGGCAACCCUGAUCCAGCCAUGCCGCGUGCGGGAAGAAGGCCUUCGGGUUGUAAACCGCUUUUGUCAGGGAAGAAAUCCUUUGGGUUAAUACCUCGGAGGGAUGACGGUACCUGAAGAAUAAGCACCGGCUAACUACGUGCCAGCAGCCGCGGUAAUACGUAGGGUGCGAGCGUUAAUCGGAAUUACUGGGCGUAAAGCGUGCGCAGGCGGUUUUGUAAGAUCGAUGUGAAAUCCCCGGGCUCAACCUGGGAACUGCAUUGGUGACUGCAAGGCUGGAGUGCGGCAGAGGGGGAUGGAAUUCCGCGUGUAGCAGUGAAAUGCGUAGAUAUGCGGAGGAACACCGAUGGCGAAGGCAAUCCCCUGGGCCUGCACUGACGCUCAUGCACGAAAGCGUGGGGAGCAAACAGGAUUAGAUACCCUUGUAGUCCU